RNAcentral lists this ribosomal RNA (527 nucleotides) under Psittacus erithacus (grey parrot). RNAcentral describes it as "partial 16S ribosomal RNA". Lineage: Eukaryota; Metazoa; Chordata; Aves; Psittaciformes; Psittacidae. The record is from RNAcentral.
AAUCUAAGUUCCCCCUUAGCCACGCCCCCCCGACAACCCACCAAACACCCACGUAGCGGGCUAAGAGCUAUUUUAAGGGGGUACAGCCCCUUUAAAAAAGGAUACAACCUUCACUAGAGGAUAACCCCGCCCCCCUCCAAACCAGUGGGCCUUAAAGCAGCCACCCACAAAGAGUGCGUCAAAGCUCAUUAAGCAAAAAAUCCAAAAGCAAUGCGACUCCCUACACCCCUAGCAGGCCAACCUAUGACAAUAGAUGAAUUAAUGCUAGAACGAGUAACCAAGGCACUACGCCUCCUUAAGCGCCAACCUAACCACCAUUAACAGCACAGCCACAAUACCAAACUCACCCUGACCGAACAUUGAACGCACCCUGUUGACCCAACCCAGGAGCGCACACCUAGGACGAUUAAAACCUGCAAAAGGAACUCGGCAAACCCAAGGCCCGACUGUUUACCAAAAACAUAGCCUUCAGCCAAACAAGUAUUGAAGGUGACGCCUGCCCAGUGACCCCACGUUUAACGGCCGCG